RNAcentral lists this transfer RNA (75 nucleotides) under Candidatus Woesebacteria bacterium RIFCSPLOWO2_02_FULL_42_10. RNAcentral describes it as "tRNA-Arg". It matches the Rfam family "tRNA". Rfam says of the family: Transfer RNA (tRNA) molecules are approximately 80 nucleotides in length. Lineage: Bacteria; Candidatus Woeseibacteriota. The record is from RNAcentral.
GCCUCCGUAGCUCAACGGAUAGAGUGCUUGUCUUCGGAACAAGUGAUGGAGGUCCGAUUCCUCCCGGAGGCACCU